This 441-nucleotide ribosomal RNA is filed under the name uncultured bacterium. RNAcentral describes it as "bacterial SSU rRNA". It matches the Rfam family "Bacterial small subunit ribosomal RNA", at positions 28 to 507 of the family's 1533-position model. The record is from RNAcentral.
GAUGAACGCUGGCGGCGUGCCUAACACAUGCAAGUCGAACGGACUAGAAUGAAACCUAGUGAUUUUUAGUUAGUGGCGGACGGGUGAGUAACGCGUGGGCAACCUGCCUCAUACAGGGGGGAUAACACUUUAGUACCGCAUGGUACAGAAGUCAAAGCUUAAUGUGCUGAGAGAUGGUCUCGCGUCUGAUUAGCUAGAUGGCGGGGUAACGGCCCACCAUGGCGACGAUCAGUAGCCGGUCUGAGAGGAUGAACGGCCACAUUGGGACUGAGAUACGGCCCAGACUCCUACGGGAGGCAGCAGUGGGGAAUAUUGGGCAAUGGGGGAAACCCUGACCCAGCAACGCCGCGUGAAGGAAGAAGGCCUUCGGGUUGUAAACUUCUUUUAGCAGGGACGAAGGACGUGACGGUACCUGCAGAAAAAGCAACGGCUAACUACGUG